RNAcentral lists this long non-coding RNA (922 nucleotides) under Homo sapiens (human). Its description in RNAcentral is "HSALNT0136200". The record is from RNAcentral. Lineage: Eukaryota; Metazoa; Chordata; Mammalia; Primates; Hominidae.
GUGUACUUUGAUAUUUUAUGUACAGUAUAUAAUAUGUAUUUGGUAUACUUUGAUAUUUUAGGUACAGUAUGUAAUAUGUAUUUGGUGUAUUUGAUAUUUUAGGUACAGUAUGUAAUAUGUAUUUGUUGUACUUUGAUAUUUUAGGUACAGUAUAAAAUGUGUAUUUGGUGAACUUUGAUAUUUUAGGUACAGUAUGUAAUAUGUAUUUGGUGUACUUUGAUAUUUUAGGUACAGUAUGUAAUAUGUAUUAUGUGUACUUUGAUAUUUUAGGUACAGUAUAUAAUAUGUAUUUCGUCUAGUUUGAUAUUUUGGGUACAGUAUGUAAUAUGUAUUUCGUGUACUUUGAUAUUUUAGGUACAGUAUAUAAUAUGUAUUUCGUGUAUUUUGAUAUUUUAGGUACAGUAUUUAAUGUGUAUUUCGUGUACUUUGAUAUUUUAGGUACAGUAUGUAAUAUAUAUUUCGUGUACUUUGAUAUUUUAUGUACAGUAUAUAAUAUGUAUUUUGUGUACUUUGAUAUUUUAUGUACAGUUUAUAAUAUGUAUUUGGUGUAGUUUGAUUUUUUAUGUACAGUAUAUAAUAUGUAUUUGGUGUAGUUUGAUAUUUUAUGUACAGUAUAUAAUGUGUAUUUGGUGUACUUUGAUAUUUUAUGUACAGUAUAUAAUAUGUAUUUGGUGUAGUUUAAUAUUUAGCAUACAGUAUAUAAUAUGUAUUUUGUGUACUUUGAUAUUUUGAAUACAGUAUAUAAUAUGUAUUUAGAGUACUUUGAUAUUUUAUGUACACUAUAUAAUAUGUACUUUGUGUACUUUGAUAUUUUAUGCACAUAUGUAAUAUGAAUUUGGUGUACUUUGAUAUUUUAUGUACAGUAUAUAAUAUGUAUUUUGUGUACUUUGAUAUUUUAUGUAGAGUAUAUAAUAUGUAUUUG